RNAcentral lists this ribosomal RNA (253 nucleotides) under uncultured bacterium. RNAcentral's name for it is "partial 16S ribosomal RNA". It matches the Rfam family "Bacterial small subunit ribosomal RNA", at positions 524 to 776 of the family's 1533-position model. The record is from RNAcentral.
UACGGAGGGUGCGAGCGUUGUCCGGAAUCACUGGGCGUAAAGGGCGCGUAGGCGGCCUGGUAAGUAGGAGGUGAAAUCCUGCGGCUUAACCGCAGGGCUGCCUUCUAAACUGUCAGGCUCGAGCACAGUAGAGGCAGGUGGAAUUCCCGGUGUAGCGGUGGAAUGCGUAGAGAUCGGGAAGAACAUCAGUGGCGAAGGUGGCCUGCUGGGCUGUUGCUGACGCUGAGGCGCGACAGCGUGGGGAGCAAACAGG